RNAcentral lists this ribosomal RNA (497 nucleotides) under uncultured bacterium. RNAcentral describes it as "partial 16S ribosomal RNA". It matches the Rfam family "Bacterial small subunit ribosomal RNA", at positions 28 to 507 of the family's 1533-position model. The record is from RNAcentral.
GAUGAACGCUGGCGGCGUGCCUAAUACAUGCAAGUCGAGCGAACGGACGAGAAGCUUGCUUCUCUGAUGUUAGCGGCGGACGGGUGAGUAACACGUGGAUAACCUACCUAUAAGACUGGGAUAACUUCGGGAAACCGGAGCUAAUACCGGAUAAUAUUUUGAACCGCAUGGUUCAAAAGUGAAAGACGGUCUUGCUGUCACUUAUAGAUGGAUCCGCGCUGCAUUAGCUAGUUGGUAAGGUAACGGCUUACCAAGGCAACGAUGCAUAGCCGACCUGAGAGGGUGGUCGGCCACACUGGAACUGAGACACGGUCCAGACUCCUACGGGAGGCAGCAGUAGGGAAUCUUCCGCAAAGGGCGAAAGCCUGACGGAGCAACGCCGCGUGAGUGAUGAAGGUCUGCGGAUCGUAAAACUCUGUUAUUAGGGAAGAACAUAUGUGUAAGUAACUGUGCACAUCUUGACGGUACCUAAUCAGAAAGCCACGGCUAACUACGUG